CAUGCAAUUCAAAGAAACCUAGCAAAGUAAUCCGUCAAGAAUCUUCCCUCAAAGGAAAAUGAUGAUAAAGACAGUGCUUUGGUCAAAUUUAAAAACACUUGUCCAGUAACCAAUACCUCCAUCAUUCUUCUGCUGACGCGAAACUGCAAAAAACAAAGCAACAUACCAUUUAAAGCAACCCAUUCAUCUAGGUCCACGAACCUUGGCAAAGAAACGAUCGUGGAAAAAUUACCCUUUACCAAAUGAGUCCGAACAAAUGGCUGCUGCAAAUACAAAGCUGUAGGCUCUACACUCGGCGACCCCGUACGCACCAAUUGCGAUGUAGAACUUUUCUUGGAGAAAGAACCAGAA
Molecule: non-coding RNA, 351 nt
Organism: Schizosaccharomyces pombe (fission yeast)
Lineage: Eukaryota; Fungi; Ascomycota; Schizosaccharomycetes; Schizosaccharomycetales; Schizosaccharomycetaceae
Source: the annotation of a GenBank genome assembly